Molecule: transfer RNA, 72 nt
Filed under: Urocitellus parryii (Arctic ground squirrel)
Lineage: Eukaryota; Metazoa; Chordata; Mammalia; Rodentia; Sciuridae
Also listed under: 1 other name
Description: Spermophilus parryii (Arctic ground squirrel) tRNA
Rfam family: tRNA
About the family: Transfer RNA (tRNA) molecules are approximately 80 nucleotides in length. Their secondary structure includes four short double-helical elements and three loops (D, anti-codon, and T loops).
Source: Rfam by way of RNAcentral
GAGGAUAUAGUUCAGUGGUAGAAUGCUUGGCUAGCAGGCACGAGGCCCUGGGUUCAAUCCCCAGUACCACCA